AUUGAACGCUGGCGGAAUGCUUUACACAUGCAAGUCGAACGGUAGAGGGGGGCAACCCCUCGAGAGUGGCGAAACGGGUGAGUAAUAUAUCGGAACGUGCCCAGUCGUGGGGGAUAACGUAGCGAAAGUUACGCUAAUACCGCAUACGAUCUAUGGAUGAAAGCGGGGGACCUUAGGGCCUCGCGCGAUUGGAGCGGCCGAUGUCAGAUUAGCUAGUUGGUGGGGUAAAGGCCCACCAAGGCGACGACGGGUAGCCGGCCUGAGAGGGUGACCGGCCACACUGGAACUGAGAUACGGUCCAGACUCCUACGGGAGGCAGCAGUGGGGAAUAUUGCACAAUGGGCGCAAGCCUGAUGCAGCAACGCCGCGUGAGGGAUGAAGGCCUUCGGGUUGUAAACCUCUUUUAGCAGGGAGAAGCGAAAGUGACGGUACCUGCAGAAAAAGCACCGGCGUAACUACGUGCCAGCA
This 468-nucleotide ribosomal RNA is filed under the name uncultured bacterium. Its description in RNAcentral is "bacterial SSU rRNA". It matches the Rfam family "Bacterial small subunit ribosomal RNA", at positions 29 to 513 of the family's 1533-position model. The record is from RNAcentral.